AUUCACAAUAUAGUACGUAAUACAGGCGGAUAACCCGAUCUGAUAUGCACAAUAUAGUACGUAAUACAGGCGGAUAACCCGAUCUGAUAUGCACAAUAUAGUACGUAAUACAGGCGGAUAACCCGAUCUGAUAUGCACAAUAUAGUACGUAAUACAGGCGGAUAACCCGAUCUGAUAUGCACAAUAUAGUACGUGAUACCGGCGGAUAACCCGUUGUACGAUCUAGCAUGCACAAUAAACACAGUUGUACGUAAUACAGGCGGAUAAUCCGUUGUACGAUCUGGCAUGCACAAUAAACACAGUUGUACGUAAUACAGGCGGAUCUGACAUGCAAUACAAAUAUGUGCAGGUGCUUUCUAAGUUUGAGUGACAUACUGUGCAUAUUUCUUUUUGAGAUGUAAUAAUUCCGUGCUUUCAAUUAUGUAACUUGAAAAUGUAUGAACACUGUAGUAUCUUCGCCUAGAUGACGUUUUGACAAUGUGUAAUAAAGAGAGAAAGGCUGUUAUUUACAAUAAACCAUAUAAAUCCUGACCCAUGUGUGUACACAGGUAACAUACCUGUUAUAUAAGCAGGGGGACAUUAUACAGGAGAAGGGAAACCGGUUGAUCGGGUAAAGGGUGUAAGUCAUACGAUCAAUGUUACGCAACAACACAGACCGGCGCCAUAAAUUCCCCAAAACACUUUGAUGCAGUCAGCACAGAAACAACACAUUAUCAUGUUUUCAUUGAAAUGCAAGCAAGCAAAUUGCACAUUAAAACAGUAUUACACCUUCUUUUGGGCUACCAUGCCUUUUUCCAUUACGCAAUGGAUGCAUGGUAUCUCGACAGUGACUGGCGCCCUAGUCGGCCUCUAGGUCGCCACGCUAAUGCUUGUAACGACCUGCCACGUACACAGCUCCCAUGACUGAAGUGAACUUUCAAACAAAACCCACGGAUUUUAGUGAAUGUAAUAGAAAACGUUACAAAAGAUAAAGUU
Long non-coding RNA from Haliotis rubra (blacklip abalone), 975 nucleotides. RefSeq lists it as uncharacterized. The transcript is spliced from 2 exons. The record is from RefSeq and is a predicted model, not a curated record. Lineage: Eukaryota; Metazoa; Mollusca; Gastropoda; Lepetellida; Haliotidae.